Molecule: ribosomal RNA, 474 nt
Filed under: uncultured organism
Description: partial 16S ribosomal RNA
Rfam family: Bacterial small subunit ribosomal RNA
Source: RNAcentral
GUACACUCCUGCGGGAGGCAGCAGUGGGGAAUUUUGGACAAUGGGCGAAAGCCUGAUCCAGCAAUGCCGCGUGAGUGAAGAAGGCCUUCGGGUUGUAAAGCUCUUUUGUCAGGGAAGAAACGGUGAAAGCUAAUAUCUUUUGCUAAUGACGGUACCUGAAGCAUAAGCACCGGCUAACUACGUGCCAGCAGCCGCGGUAAUACGUAGGGGGCAAGCGUUAAUCGGAAUUACUGGGCGUAAAGCGUGCGCAGGCGGUUUUGUAAGUCUGAUGUGAAAUCCCCGGGCUCAACCUGGGAAUUGCAUUGGAGACUGCAAGGCUAGAAUCUGGCAGAGGGGGGUAGAAUUCCACGUGUAGCAGUGAAAUGCGUAGAUAUGUGGAGGAACACCGAUGGCGAAGGCAGCCCCCUGGGUCAAGAUUGACGCUCAUGCACGAAAGCGUGGGGAGCAAACAGGAUUAGAUACCCGAGUAGUCCC